AAUCUCAACCCCUCUGGAUUUCUACUUACACAGACAAAGGCACACAGACUGUGCUUUUUCAGAGGAAAGAUAACUUUUUUUGGUUUCUUCCAAAUAAUCACUUAGUCCAGGCUCUUGCCCAGCUUGAGGUGAGAAUAUUCCACCGAAGUGAGCAACUUCGGAGACUGAACACAGCUUUCUGCCAGAGCAGUUGUUCUGCUCUCAUUUUAUGGACACGGUGACUCAUGUACCUGAUCAAAUUUCCCUCUGUGCAGGCUGCUGGAAAAAUUCAGGACCAAACUGGGCCUCUCUCCUUAAAAAGUAUGAGGACUUCCUUGUGCGCUUUUCCUGUCCCUUUCGUGGCUCCAUUUCAUCGUCCAUCCUGUGCUUCAGCUUCCUCACUGCCUCAAAUCUAAGUUAUUCAGAAAGAUUCCCAGUGGAUACCCAAGGACAUCAGUGUCUCGUGCUACCCACACACCUGAAACUUUCCUCCUGGCCAUCAUUGGAACUGAUACAAAUCCAUGGAUACAAUCAUACAUCCUACAUUUCAUAAUUUCAAAACCCUUCUACUUCCAGAAUCUCACUCAUCUCAAUGAUAAUCUUGUAAGAUAAGUAUAAAACCUGCAUUUUGCAAGAGAAGAAAUGGAGACUUUUAAGGUCAUCAAAAGACUUGUCAGAAAGAAAAAUGGAGUGAGAGCUCAGAUCUUCUAAACCUUGUUUGGUUGUUCUUUCCACUCUAGAUUUUAUUUUCUCAUGACUGUCACGGGAGUUUGGUAUACACCCGCUGUUGAUAAAAACAGGAGAGGUUGAACUCUCCUCCACCCACAGCCAUUCAUACAGGCACGUUCUUUUCCAGCCCCAGUCUCAAGAGUCAAUCUAGAAAAUGCACAAUUUAACUGACACGAUGGACGUGAGUCUGGGUGAACUCCGGGAGUUGGUGAUGGACAGGAAGGCCUGGCGUGCUGCGAUUCAUGGGGUCGCAAAGAGUCGGACACAACUGAGCGACUGAACUGAAGUGAACCGAAGUGAGUGCAAACACAGUUGUGCCCAGAAGGCCGGGAAACCUGAAUGCCAUACGGGUGCAAUGUUUUGUCAGUGUAGAUUCACAAGGCUUUUUUGUAAGAUAAAAAGCAAACCCUGGAUCCCACUAUUAAGAGUUCUCAUGGAUUAAUGAUUCUUUAUCAGUAUGUAAUGUUGAUAGAAUGUCUUUUUCCUAUCACAACUUUCCAGAGUACAGGACCCGAUAUAUUCAACCUUGCCUUGGCUCAUCCCUAAAUUCAGUGCCAGCCCGAGGAUGCCCCAACUCCUCUGGAGUUGGGACAGGAGCCUGGUACCAGAAAAGCUGACAUCAGAGCUACUCUGAGGAGAACAGGACCUCCUGCCCUGAGAUGAAUCCCUCAAACACCCACUCUUCAGGUAAGGCGCUUGCCAGGUAAGGCACCAAGGCAUCUUUAUACUUAAAAAAAAAAAAAAAACACGCACCUUUUACAUUUUACAGUGACCAAACACUCUGAGUUGUUUACCAUGGAGAAAAAGCAGAAGAAAGGAGAAAA
Bos indicus x Bos taurus (hybrid cattle) is the source of this 1532-nucleotide long non-coding RNA. Lineage: Eukaryota; Metazoa; Chordata; Mammalia; Artiodactyla; Bovidae. The record is from Ensembl.